UAAAGUUUACUAUAAAAAAAAUUACAAGAGCAUUGUUCAAUACUAAAAAAAUGUCCACAACUUCAAUAUAUCAAUAGUUUCACCUGAGAGGAGUUUAGGUUAGACGCAUCCCUUGUUUGAUCCAGCAUCUGUUUGGUUUGUUCCUCCUGGGCCGCUUGGCUUAAGGUAGUUUUAGAUGUAGUACCUGUACCUUGGCAAGUGACAAGAAUCAAUUAUUGACAUAUAGUGGACAAAAUCUGAUAAAUGUAGACGUGAAUAAAGUUUGCUAUUUGAGACUAUGAUCUAAAACUCCUAUUCUACUCCAAAGAGAUCCAAGUGGAUGAAGGAAAAGUCUAUUCUUGUAAUGCCUUAAUCCAUGGAAUACAAAUUGCAUCUACUAACAAGUAAUUUCAACUAUAAAACUUUUGAAAAAAGCUAGCUUUUCCAGCUUGUUGGACCAAAACAGUUGUUGUCGACAAAGUCAAGGAAAGCUUUGACGUGGUGGUGUUAAUUUUGUGCAGAACAGUAACAUUUAGAGUUGUUGUUGUAGCGUCAAAAGGAGUGACUGUAGAUGUCAAAUGUCACCUGGUACUCCCGUUGUCAGGUUCCAGUCUGCUGUUGAACUGCUUGCAGUCGAGCUUAGAUUGGAGAUGAUUCCAACACUUUGAUUGUGAUUGAUGGUGAUACUGACAGGGGAAGCAGCUGUUAGGUUAUCAUUUCCGUGGGUUGUUGUGAUGUUGGUCACUCUCGCUGUGGUCUGAUUUACAGUCUGGUUGAUAAGUGGAGCUCCUAUUGUUUCGUUGGUUAAAGGUGAGACUGUUGUGACAUUCAAUGUUGUUGUGUUAUUCAGAGAAGGUGUGACUGUUAUGUUGGAUGUUAUUGUUUUAUUGGUUGAAGGUGAGACUUUUGUGACGAUCAAUGUUGUUGUGUGAUUGGUUGAAGGUGUGACUCUAGUUAUGUUGUUUGUCGUUGUGUCAUUCAGAGAAGGUGUGACUGUUAUGUUGGAUGUUGUUGUUUUAUUGGUUGAAGGUGAGACUGUUGUGACAUUGAAUGUUGUAGUGUCAUUAAGAAAAGGUGUGACUGUUAUGUUGGAUGUUAUUGUUUUAUUGGUUGAAUGUGAGACUGUUGUGACAUUCAAUGUUGUUGUGUUAUUCAGAGAAGGUGUGACUGUUACGUUGGAUGUUAUUGUUUUAUUGGUCGAAGGUGAGACUGUUGUGACAUUCAAUGUUGUUGUGUUAUUCAGAGAAGGUGUGACUGUUAUGUUGGAUGUUAUUGUUUUAUUGUUUAAAGGUGACACUGUUGUGACAUUCAAUGUUGCUGUGGUUGUGUUAUUCAGAGAAGGUUUGACUGUUAUGUUCGGUAUGUUGUUGUUUCUUUGGUUGAAGGUGAGACUGUUGUGACUUUCAAUGUUGUUGUGUGAUUGGUUGAAGGUGUGACUGUAGUUAUGUUGUUUGUUGUUGUGUCAUUCAGAAAAGCUGUGACUGUUGCGUUGGAUGUUGUUGUUUUAUUUGUUAAAGGUGACACUGUUGUGACAUUGUAUGUUGUUGUUUGAUUGGUUGAAACUGAGACAGUUACAUUCAAUGUCAUUGUGUUAUUCAGAAAAGGUGUGACUGUCGUUACAUUGUUUGUUGUUGUGUCAUUCUGAAAGGGUGUGACUGUUGUUACACUGUAUGUUGUUGUGUGAUUGUUUGAAGGUGUGACUUUGUUAACUGUUACGUUGUCCACAGUUGUGUGGUUUUGUUGCAAUUUAGUUAUGUUAUGUGUGUAACCGAUGGAUUCAGUUGUCCUAACAUUUAAGUUUGAGUCAUUAGAGGAUAAUGUUGUGAAAUUUGUUGCGUUUUGCCGUCUUGUAGUUGUGUUUUGUAAUUUGCUAUUAUCAGUGGGUGUCCAUACUGUGCUGUUAGAUACAUUUGCGUUUUGUUCUGUUGUCACAGUAGUCACAGUCAUGUUUUGUGAGCUGGUUGUGAGGACUGGCUCUGCUGUCGAGGACUGGGUUCUGUCAUGUGUUGCGAGUGGAGUGGUCAUGCUGGACUGAGCUGUUACUUGUGAUGCAUUCUUCUGUUGAAUUGUUGCAGAACUUUCAGUUGUUGUUUUAGUUUUCUCAGUAGUGUUGACCACAGAUGGUGUUGAGGCCUCAGGAGUUGAAGUGCUUUGUGUAGUUGGGGGGGGCUCUCUCGGGCAGCUUUCGGUCAGAAGUACAGCAAGCCUUUCAUUUGCAUCACUGAAAAAGAACACAUCGAGAAAAUGAGGGGAAAUACUUCUUCUAUAAAGCCAGAACCUUCAAUAUCACAGACGCUCAAUGAACCAUUAGCCUUGUGCAGUGAGUCGAUGUUCCUUUCUUCAUUUGGUUGAGUGCAGAUCUAGACCGUCUGACAAGUUAAUAGUGGCGUUCUUUUUAUUCGUUGGGUGUCGAGUAUG
Gasterosteus aculeatus aculeatus (three-spined stickleback) is the source of this 2397-nucleotide long non-coding RNA. The record is from Ensembl. Lineage: Eukaryota; Metazoa; Chordata; Actinopteri; Perciformes; Gasterosteidae.